UGGGGAAUAUUGCACAAUGGACGGAAGUCUGAUGCAGCAACGCCGCGUGCGGGAUGACGGCCUUCGGGUUGUAAACCGCUUUUUCUCAUGACGAAGUUUUUUGACGGUAGUGGGGGAAGAAGCACCGGCUAACUACGUGCCAGCAGCCGCGGUGAUACGUAGGGUGCGAGCGUUGUCCGGAAUUAUUGGGCGUAAAGAGCUUGUAGGCGGUUUGUCGCGUCGAUAGUGCAAACUCAGUGCUUAACGCUGAGCCUGCUGUUGAUACGGGCAGACUAGAGGAAGGUAGGGGAGAAUGGAAUUCCCGGUGGAGCGGUGGAAUGCGCAGAUAUCGGGAGGAACACCGGUGGCGAAGGCGGUUCUCUGGGCCUUUCCUGACGCUGAGAAGCGAAAGCGUGGGUAGCAAACAGG
This 408-nucleotide ribosomal RNA is filed under the name Fusobacteriota bacterium. RNAcentral describes it as "Fusobacteria bacterium partial 16S ribosomal RNA". It matches the Rfam family "Bacterial small subunit ribosomal RNA", at positions 355 to 776 of the family's 1533-position model. The record is from RNAcentral. Lineage: Bacteria; Fusobacteriati; Fusobacteriota.